GACGAACGCUGGCGGCGUGCUUAACACAUGCAAGUCGAACGGAAAGGCCCUGCCUUUGUGGGGUGCUCGAGUGGCGAACGGGUGAGUAACACGUGAGUACCCUGUCCCUGACUUUGGGAUAACUUAAGGAAACUGGGGCUAAUACCGGAUAGGAGUUCCCGCUGCAUGGUGGGGGUUGGAAAGUUUCGGCGGUUGGGGAUGGACUCGCGUCGUAUCAGCUUGUUGGUGGGGUAGUGGCUUACCAAGGCUUUGAACGGUAGCCGGCCUGGUAGGGUGAGCGGCCACAUUGGGACUGAGAUGCGACCCAGACUCCUACGGGAGGCAGCAGUGGGGAAUAGUGCAUAAUGGGCGGAAGCCUGAUGCAGCAACGCCGCGUGCGGGAUGACGGCAUUCGGGUUGUAAACCGCUGUCGCCUUUGACGAAGCGUUAGUGACGGUAAUGGGUAAAGAAGCACCGGCUAACUACGUG
RNAcentral lists this ribosomal RNA (468 nucleotides) under uncultured bacterium. Its description in RNAcentral is "partial 16S ribosomal RNA". It matches the Rfam family "Bacterial small subunit ribosomal RNA", at positions 28 to 507 of the family's 1533-position model. The record is from RNAcentral.